Molecule: long non-coding RNA, 915 nt
Filed under: Zea mays
Lineage: Eukaryota; Viridiplantae; Streptophyta; Magnoliopsida; Poales; Poaceae
Description: long non-coding RNA (ZMAY_LNC001853)
Source: RNAcentral
UUAUAGAAAUAUUUAAUUUAAGAUAACUUGAAGCAUCAAGGACACAGCUUCCAAAGCCUCGCGUUCCAUUUACAGGCGGCCUGUAAUCAUCUCUUGGGAGAUGACUAUUGACUAGACUAGAUAACAGUUUUGCUGGCAUCAUACGCACCUGAUGCGCGGACCCUUUGCCGUCCUGCACGGGAAAAAAGGGGCUGGGUGAAAAAGAAAAUUCAGGCGAGCACGUAGCCGAUGUACGGAUGCACGCUUGGAUUGGAAGCACGGGUCGUCGUGGUCAUGGCCGCCACUGGAUGCUAGAGUAUUACUGCUUGGGUUGGAGAAGCACACGGUUCAGGCAUCGCCGACACGUACGUACGCCAACUCCAUCGUUUCCUGCGGUCCUGCACCGUAUCGGCUUCUUAGUUUCUAUAGAUUACAGUUAUAACAGUCUCUAAACAACCGACUUUAGUCCGAAGCGAACAACUAAAUCACUGUCAGUGUACCUUACUAACUCCUCUCCUGUAAUUCUGGAUCUCAAAGGGCCACUGUUGUCGGAUGAGACUGGACUUCUGAAGCACUAGUUGCUGGCAUUUACAUGCCCUUCCUGAGCACCUCCACCUCCCAUUCCUGCAACAAGCUCAAGCUUCCUCAUCAACAAAGAACUCUACAGAGUUGUCUGCGUCUCCCCCUGAGUCUACGCUCCAGUUCCACUCCGCGGCUUCCUCAAGUCAAAGACUGAAUCAUGACGAACUAUUACUGUCAGGAUCAUACAGUCGAUGUGCUUGUCCCCCUUCUUUAUGAAACCAGCCGCAAAAACAAAACUACUCCUACGAAAUAAACAAGAUCAGGAGAUGAGCGCGCUAAACGAAUCAGUCAAACUGACUAACGAAGCAGCCGAGAAGCUUCGUGCACAUUAAAAAAAAACAUGUACUCCCUCUC